Molecule: ribosomal RNA, 783 nt
Filed under: Triticum aestivum (bread wheat)
Lineage: Eukaryota; Viridiplantae; Streptophyta; Magnoliopsida; Poales; Poaceae
Description: partial small subunit ribosomal RNA
Source: RNAcentral
AUGAAUCUUGUGAGCAACGAUAUGUACCUUAAAUUGGCAAAAGCUGAUUUCAGAGAAUAUCAAAGAUUCUCCAGACUUGAGUGGAAUGGCCUGAGAAAGUGGUAUUUCAGGAACCAUCUGCAGAGGUAUGGUGGUACUCCGAAGAGCGCUCUCACGGCGUACUUCUUAGCCUCGGCAAACAUCUUCGAGCCUGGACGAGCAGCAGAGCGUCUAGCAUGGGCUCGCACAGCGGUGCUUACCGGGGCGGUGACAUCUCACUUCCUACACAUUGGUGGUCCAAAGGAUUCAACAGAGAAUCUUGAAGAGCUUACCGACCUUGUUUCAUUUGACGACGUUUCCGGCAGUCUUCGUGAAGCUUGGAAGAAGUGGCUCAUGGCAUGGACUGCAAAGGAGAAUUAUGGAUCCAUUGAUGGAGAUACAGCACUGUUGUUGGUUCGCACAAUCGAGAUCUGCUCAGGGAGGAAUAUUUCAGCCGAACAGAAACUGAACCUUUGGGAUUAUUCCCAGCUGGAGAAGCUUACGUCUUCCAUCUGCCGCAAGCUUGCCACAAGAGUUGUGGCUCAGAAUGGGGAACGUUUGAAGAACACAGAGGACUUAGACAUGCAAGUAGAUUUGGAGAUGGAAGAACUAUCUUGGUGUAUUCAUCAGGGUUGUCAUGGGAUCAAUAUAGAGACUAGGCAGACAUUUCUCCACGUGGUGAAAAGCUUCUACUACUCUGCUCAUUGCUCGCCUGAAACAGUUGAUAGUCACAUUGCGAAGGUCAUAUUCCAGGAUGUCAUUUAG